UGGCUCAGAACGAACGUUAGCGGCGCGCCUAACACAUGCAAGUCGAGCGAGAAAGGGCUUCGGCCCCGGUACAGCGGCGCACGGGUGAGUAACACGUAGGUAAUCUACCCCUGAAUGGUGGAUAACCCUCCGAAAGGAGGGCUAAUACAGCAUAAGACCACGGCUUCUCUGGAAGCUGAGGCCAAAGCGGGCCUCUUAAUUAAAGCUCGCGUUUGGGGAUGAGCCUGCGGCCCAUCAGCUAGUUGGCGGUGUAACGGACCACCAAGGCUAAGACGGGUAGCUGGUCUGAGAGGAUGAACAGCCACACUGGAACUGAGACACGGUCCAGACUCCUACGGGAGGCAGCAGUGGGGAAUCUUGCGCAAUGGGCGAAAGCCUGACGCAGCGACGCCGCGUGAGUGAUGAAGGCCUUCGGGUUGUAAAGCUCUGUGGGGAGAGACGAAUAAGGGCCGAUUAACACUCGGCUCGAUGACGGUAUCUCCUUAGCAAGCACCGGCUAACUCUGUGCCAGCAGCCGCGGUAAGACAGAGGGUGCAAACGUUGUUCGGAAUUACUGGGCGUAAAGCGCGUGUAGGCGGCAGGGCAUGUCGGAUGUGAAAUCCCGUGGCUCAACCACGGAAGUGCACCCGAAACUGCCCAGCUCGAGUCUCGGAGAGGAAGGCGGAAUGCUUGGUGUAGAGGUGAAAUUCGUAGAUAUCAAGCGGAACACCGGUGGCGAAGGCGGCCUUCUGGACGAUGACUGACGCUGAGACGCGAAAGCGUGGGGAGCAAACAGGAUUAGAUACCCUGGUAGUCCACGCCGUAAACGAUGAGUGCUAGGUGUCACGGGCUUUGACCCCUGUGGUGCCGUAGCUAACGCAGUAAGCACUCCGCCUGG
RNAcentral lists this ribosomal RNA (877 nucleotides) under uncultured bacterium. RNAcentral's name for it is "bacterial SSU rRNA". It matches the Rfam family "Bacterial small subunit ribosomal RNA", at positions 20 to 876 of the family's 1533-position model. The record is from RNAcentral.